GCGGACGUGGUGGAAUUGGUAGACACGCUGGUCUUAGAAGCCAGUGCCUUGCGCGUGUGAGUUCAAGUCUCACCGUCCGCA
RNAcentral lists this transfer RNA (81 nucleotides) under Pseudobacteriovorax antillogorgiicola. It matches the Rfam family "tRNA". Rfam says of the family: Transfer RNA (tRNA) molecules are approximately 80 nucleotides in length. Their secondary structure includes four short double-helical elements and three loops (D, anti-codon, and T loops). Lineage: Bacteria; Pseudomonadati; Bdellovibrionota; Oligoflexia; Oligoflexales; Pseudobacteriovoracaceae. The record is from Rfam by way of RNAcentral.